RNAcentral lists this ribosomal RNA (385 nucleotides) under uncultured bacterium. RNAcentral describes it as "bacterial SSU rRNA". It matches the Rfam family "Bacterial small subunit ribosomal RNA", at positions 29 to 417 of the family's 1533-position model. The record is from RNAcentral.
AUUGAACGCUGGCGGCAUGCCUUACACAUGCAAGUCGAACGGUAACGCGGGGCAACCUGGCGACGAGUGGCGAACGGGUGAGUAAUAUAUCGGAACGUGCCCAGUAGUGGGGGAUAGCCCGGCGAAAGCCGGAUUAAUACCGCAUGAGACCUGAGGGUGAAAGCGGGGGAUCGCAAGACCUCGCGCUAUUGGAGCGGCCGAUAUCAGAUUAGGUAGUUGGUGGGGUAGAGGCCUACCAAGCCGACGAUCUGUAGCUGGUCUGAGAGGACGACCAGCCACACUGGGACUGAGACACGGCCCAGACUCCUACGGGAGGCAGCAGUGGGGAAUUUUGGACAAUGGGCGCAAGCCUGAUCCAGCCAUGCCGCGUGCGGGAAGAAGGCCU